UACGGAGGGGGCUAGCGUUGUUCGGAAUUACUGGGCGUAAAGCGCACGUAGGCGGCUUUGUAAGUUAGAGGUGAAAGCCCCGGGCUCAACCUGGGAAUUGCAUUUGAGACUGCGUAGCUAGGGUGCGGAAGAGGGAAGCGGAAUUUCCGGUGUAGCGGUGAAAUGCGUAGAUAUCGGAAGGAACACCAGUGGCGAAAGCGGCUUCCUGGUCCAGCACCGACGUUCAGGCACGAAAGCGUGGGGAGCAAACAGG
This 253-nucleotide ribosomal RNA is filed under the name uncultured bacterium. Its description in RNAcentral is "partial 16S ribosomal RNA". It matches the Rfam family "Bacterial small subunit ribosomal RNA", at positions 524 to 776 of the family's 1533-position model. The record is from RNAcentral.